GCGGUGACGGUGACAACAGCCCCACGAUGACCCCGAGGGACAACACCCGGCGCUUCGCGUCACCCGCGCCGAUGUCACCCUUCGAGCGUCACCCAUUUGUCACCCGUUUCAUUGUCACCAUUUUGUCACCCCUUCAGUGUCACCCUACUACCAUCACCCGCUUGUCACCCUUUCGGUGUCACCAUUUUGUCACCCGUUUCGCGACCACCAUUUUGUCACCCUUUUGGUGUCACCAUUUUACUGUCACCCAUUUGUCACCAUUUUGUCACCCCUUCCGUGUCACCCUUCUACUGUCACCCGCUUGUCACCCUUUCGGUGUCACCAUUUUGUCACCCGUUUCGCGACCACCAUUUUGUCACCCUUUUGGUGUCACCAUUUUGUCAACGCUUCAGUGUCACCAUUUUACUGUCACCCAUUUGUCACCAUUUUGUCACUCCUUCAAUGUCACCCUUCUACCAUCAC
This 462-nucleotide long non-coding RNA is filed under the name Numida meleagris (helmeted guineafowl). RNAcentral describes it as "lncRNA (ENSNMEG00000003825.1)". The record is from RNAcentral. Lineage: Eukaryota; Metazoa; Chordata; Aves; Galliformes; Numididae.